GCCAGCGAAGCAGAACAGGAUCUGCGCCGAUCUUGUACAUCGGAGUUAGCGAGUUCGAAUCUCGUCGCUGGCC
RNAcentral lists this transfer RNA (73 nucleotides) under Longispora fulva. It matches the Rfam family "tRNA". Rfam says of the family: Transfer RNA (tRNA) molecules are approximately 80 nucleotides in length. Their secondary structure includes four short double-helical elements and three loops (D, anti-codon, and T loops). Lineage: Bacteria; Bacillati; Actinomycetota; Actinomycetes; Micromonosporales; Micromonosporaceae. The record is from Rfam by way of RNAcentral.